CGAAGAGACAAGUCGCAAAACCAGUCGCCGAAAAGAGUACAAAUUUGGUGGUGCCCUUCUUUAAACCAUUUCUUUCUGCUUUUUCUCUCAUCCAUGGAAAUUCAAGCAUUUUCUUCCUCUUCCUCUUCCUCUUCCUCUUCUUCCUGUUGAUAACAAGAAACCCUUGCAACUCGAAACAUGCUUCUUUUACCUCAGAGAAGACUGUUUCUGAACACGAAUUCUCACUACAACAGAGCAAUUUUGAUGGGCUCCAAACACUUGCUCCUUCUUACGUCUACACUCACGCCGGUAACGCAUACAAGUAAAGAUGCGGCCCAUUUUUCUUCAACUUCGCAACCUCGGUUAUUUUUUAUUCACAGGAAAAAUAUAGCAUUUUCUACAUCUUCGAAAACCAUAUCUCC
RNAcentral lists this long non-coding RNA (401 nucleotides) under Olea europaea subsp. europaea. The record is from RNAcentral. Lineage: Eukaryota; Viridiplantae; Streptophyta; Magnoliopsida; Lamiales; Oleaceae.